Molecule: transfer RNA, 72 nt
Filed under: Fukomys damarensis (Damara mole-rat)
Lineage: Eukaryota; Metazoa; Chordata; Mammalia; Rodentia; Bathyergidae
Rfam family: tRNA
About the family: Transfer RNA (tRNA) molecules are approximately 80 nucleotides in length. Their secondary structure includes four short double-helical elements and three loops (D, anti-codon, and T loops).
Source: Rfam by way of RNAcentral
CGUGGUGUAGCUCAGUGAUAGAGCACUUGCCUAGAAUGUGUGAAACCCAGAGUUCGAUCCCCUGUACCACAA